UGGCCGCGGGAUUUGAUUAAGCCAUGCGAGUCGAAUGUAGCAAUACAUGGCGAACUGCUCAGUAACACGUGGACAACCUGCCCUUAGGACGGGGAUAAACCCGGGAAACUGGGUAUAAUACCCGAUAGGUCUCGAUUGCUGGAAUGCAUCGAGAUUUAAAGCUCCGGCGCCUAAGGAUGGGUCUGCGGCCUAUCAGGUAGUAGUGGGUGUAGCGUACCUACUAGCCUACGACGGGUACGGGUUGUGAGAGCAAGAGCCCGGAGAUGGAUUCUGAGACACGAAUCCAGGCCCUACGGGGUGCAGCAGGCGCGAAAACUUUACAAUGCUGGCAACAGCGAUAAGGGAACCUCGAGUGCCAGGUUACAAAUCUGGCUGUCGAGAUGCCUAAAAAGCAUUUCAUAGCAAGGGCCGGGCAAGACCGGUGCCAGCCGCCGCGGUAACACCGGCGGCUCGAGUGGUAACCGUUAUUAUUGGGUCUAAAGGGUCUGUAGCCGGCCGGAUAAGUCUCUUGAGAAAUCUGGCAGCUUAACUGUCAGGCUUUCAGGAGAUACUGUCUGGCUCGAGGCCGGGAGAGGUGAGAGGUACUUCAGGGGUAGGGGUGAAAUCUUGUAAUCCUUGAAGGACCACCAGUGGCGAAGGCGUCUCACCAGAACGGACCUGACGGCAAGGGACGAAAGCUAGGGGCACGAACCGGAUUAGAUACCCGGGUAGUCCUAGCCGUAAACGAUACUCGCUAGGUGUCGGCCACGGUGCGACCGUUGUCGGUGCCGUAGGGAAGCCGUGAAGCGAGCCACCUGGG
Molecule: ribosomal RNA, 799 nt
Filed under: uncultured archaeon
Lineage: Archaea
Description: bacterial SSU rRNA
Rfam family: Archaeal small subunit ribosomal RNA
Source: RNAcentral